Molecule: ribosomal RNA, 491 nt
Filed under: uncultured bacterium
Lineage: Bacteria
Description: partial 16S ribosomal RNA
Rfam family: Bacterial small subunit ribosomal RNA
Source: RNAcentral
GAUGAACGCUGUCUACAUGCUUAACACAUGCAAGUCGAGCGGAAACGUCGGGGUAGCUUGCUUCCCCGGGCGUCGACCGGCGCACGGGUGAGUAACGCGUAUCCAACCUGCCUCUGACUGAGGGUUAACCCGUCGAAAGUCGGCCUAAUACCUCAUGGCAUCUUCUGCUGGCAUCCAACCACGUUUAAAGAUUUCAUCGGUCAGGGAUGGGGAUGCGUCUGAUUAGCUUGUUGUCGGGGUAACGGCCCACCAACGCUACGAUCAGUAGGGGUUCUGAGAGGAAGGUGCCCCAGAGUGGAACUGCGGCAAGGUCCAAACUGCUACGGGAGGCAGCAGUGAGGGAGAUUGGGCAGUGGGCGGGAGCCUGAACGAGGCAAGUAGCGUGCAGGAGGACGGCGCUUGGGGUGGUAAACUGCUUUUAUGGGAGGCUAAUGUGAGGGGGGUAUCCGUCAUUGAAGGUACCGAAUGAAUAAGGACCGGCUAAUUCCGUG